RNAcentral lists this ribosomal RNA (432 nucleotides) under uncultured bacterium. Its description in RNAcentral is "partial 16S ribosomal RNA". It matches the Rfam family "Bacterial small subunit ribosomal RNA", at positions 29 to 507 of the family's 1533-position model. The record is from RNAcentral.
AACGAACGCUGGCGGCAGGCCUAACACAUGCAAGUCGAGCGGGCCUUUCGGGGUCAGCGGCGGACGGGUGAGUAACGCGUGGGAAUAUGCCCUUCUCUACGGAAUAGUCCUGGGAAACGGGGGGUAAUACCGUAUACGCCCUUUGGGGGAAAGAUUUAUCGGGGAAGGAUUAGCCCGCGUUGGAUUAGGUAGUUGGUGGGGUAAUGGCCUACCAAGCCGACGAUCCAUAGCUGGUUUGAGAGGAUGAUCAGCCACACUGGGACUGAGACACGCCCCAGACUCUACGGGAGGCAGGAGGGGGGAAUCCUGGAACAUUGGGGGAAACCCUAUCCUGCCAUGCCCGGGGAGGUGAUAAGGCCUUAGGGUUGGAAAGCUCUUUCAGCUGGGAAGAUAAUGACGGUACCAGCAGAAGAAGCCCCGGCUAACUCCGUG